Molecule: unclassified non-coding RNA, 317 nt
Filed under: Zea mays
Lineage: Eukaryota; Viridiplantae; Streptophyta; Magnoliopsida; Poales; Poaceae
Description: misc RNA Zm00001eb301660
Source: RNAcentral
CUUGGGGAGAAGUGGCCAUUGUCUGCCAAGAGGGGGGAAAGGAACAAAAUUGAAUCAUGUAAACAAAAUAACAAAUAGUCGAAAUUAUAAUACAGAAAUACACAACUAUGAAGGUACAGUGAUGCAUCGUGAUUUUGCCAUGAUAGACAUGCCCUCAAAUUUAAUCACAAGAUAUCAAUUUUUUUACAGUGAGAAAUUAACAAAUCCGAAUAAAAUUUGGCUAGAUUUGAGAAUUCUAGAACGCAGACUGCAGCGAGCCAAGGGUAAAUACAGCAUACUAAGAUGGCAGAACAGGGACUAACCCAAACUUUUAUAAU